This 236-nucleotide long non-coding RNA is filed under the name Pelobates cultripes (western spadefoot toad). Lineage: Eukaryota; Metazoa; Chordata; Amphibia; Anura; Pelobatidae. The record is from RNAcentral.
UCAGGACUGUAGUGGACACUGAAUACACUAGCCUAGCUAUCAAUUUCCCUAUCAAAUCAGCAGCAGCUACACUGUCCCUCCUCUCACUAAGAAUGCAGCUUCACAAUGAAUGUAAAAUGGAUGCUGUCCAGGAGGUGGGAGGGUCUGGGAGGGAGGGUCUGCUGCUGAUUGGCUGGAAUGUGUCUGCUGACUGUGAGGUACAGGAUCAAAGUUUACUCAAUGAUGAUGAAUAGGGG